GCGUCUGUAGCCUAGUUGGUAAAGGCAGCACUCUAGAAAGCUGAGGUCGUGAGUUCGACUCUCACCAGACACA
RNAcentral lists this transfer RNA (73 nucleotides) under Puccinia triticina 1-1 BBBD Race 1. RNAcentral's name for it is "tRNA-Ser (AGA) (tRNA-Ser-AGA-6-1, tRNA-Ser-AGA-6-2)". It matches the Rfam family "tRNA". From Rfam's summary of the family: Transfer RNA (tRNA) molecules are approximately 80 nucleotides in length. Their secondary structure includes four short double-helical elements and three loops (D, anti-codon, and T loops). Further hydrogen bonds mediate the characteristic L-shaped molecular structure. tRNAs have two regions of fundamental functional importance: the anti-codon, which is responsible for specific mRNA codon recognition, and the 3' end, to which the tRNAs corresponding amino acid is attached (by aminoacyl-tRNA synthetases). tRNAs cope with the degeneracy of the genetic code in two manners: having more than one tRNA (with a specific anti-codon) for a particular amino acid; and 'wobble' base-pairing, i.e. permitting non-standard base-pairing at the 3rd anti-codon position. The record is from RNAcentral. Lineage: Eukaryota; Fungi; Basidiomycota; Pucciniomycetes; Pucciniales; Pucciniaceae.